AACGAACGCUGGCGGCGCGCCUAACACAUGCAAGUCGAACGAGAAGCUGUAGCAAUACAGUUGUACAGUGGCGAACGGGUGAGGAAUACAUGGGUGACCUACCCUCGAGUGGGGAAUAACCAGCCGAAAGGUUGGCUAAUACCGCGUACGUUUCCCAGUCCGCGGAUUGGGAAGGAAAGCGAUGCCGUGGGUAUCGCGCUCAAGGUUGGGCUCAUGUCCUAUCAGCUUGUUGGGAGGUAACGGCUCACCAAGGCAACGACGGGUAGCUGGUCUGAGAGGACGAUCAGCCACACUGGCACUGCGACACGGGCCAGACUCCUACGGGAGGCAGCAGUGAGGAAUAUUGCGCAAUGGGCG
This 357-nucleotide ribosomal RNA is filed under the name uncultured bacterium. RNAcentral describes it as "bacterial SSU rRNA". It matches the Rfam family "Bacterial small subunit ribosomal RNA", at positions 29 to 377 of the family's 1533-position model. The record is from RNAcentral.